This 406-nucleotide long non-coding RNA is filed under the name Trifolium pratense (red clover). RNAcentral's name for it is "long non-coding RNA (TPRA_LNC012304)". Lineage: Eukaryota; Viridiplantae; Streptophyta; Magnoliopsida; Fabales; Fabaceae. The record is from RNAcentral.
UGUUGCAAAUUUGCCUUGAAAACGUGAAAAAACAACACUAGUCUGCUGUUUUCCGCCCCGGGCGGAAAAACCUGUGUUCCGGGCGGAAAUUUGAAGCAGGAAAAGGGGUGCUCACUGUUUUGCCGCCCCAGGCGGAAAAACUGGUGUUUCAGGCGGAAGUUUCCGCCCCAGGCGGAAAAAGCUGUGUUUCAGGCGGAAAUCGCUGCAGGGUAUUUAAAGGGUCACGUUUUCUGUUUUUUGGGAGAAAGUUUUUAGGUUUUGUGCAGCCAACAACAGUCUAGGGUUAUAAGAAAACAUUCUUGGGUAUACUCUAGGGUUGGGAUAACAAUCUAAACACCUUGGUAGUCACUUAUCAUUGAAAUCUCUUGGUCACGGGAAGAGAUUUGGGAAAAGGGUAGAAUUAGGG